This 492-nucleotide ribosomal RNA is filed under the name uncultured bacterium. RNAcentral's name for it is "partial 16S ribosomal RNA". It matches the Rfam family "Bacterial small subunit ribosomal RNA", at positions 29 to 507 of the family's 1533-position model. The record is from RNAcentral.
AGUGAACGCUGGCGGUAGGCCUAACACAUGCAAGUCGAACGGCAGCACAGUAAGAGCUUGCUCUUACGGGUGGCGAGUGGCGGACGGGUGAGGAAUACAUCGGAAUCUACUUUUUCGUGGGGGAUAACGUAGGGAAACUUACGCUAAUACCGCAUACGACCUACGGGUGAAAGCAGGGGAUCUUCGGACCUUGCGCGAUUGAAUGAGCCGAUGUCGGAUUAGCUAGUUGGCGGGGUAAAGGCCCACCAAGGCGACGAUCCGUAGCUGGUCUGAGAGGAUGAUCAGCCACACUGGAACUGAGACACGGUCCAGACUCCUACGGGAGGCAGCAGUGGAGAAUAUUGGGCAAAGGGCGCAAGCCUGAUCCAGCCAUACCGCGUGGGUGAAGAAGGCCUUCGGGUUGUAAAGCCCUUUUGUUGGGAAAGAAAAGCAGCAGGUUAAUACCCCGCUGUUCUGACGGUACCCAAAGAAUAAGCACCGGCUAACUUCGUG